Molecule: ribosomal RNA, 253 nt
Filed under: uncultured bacterium
Lineage: Bacteria
Description: partial 16S ribosomal RNA
Rfam family: Bacterial small subunit ribosomal RNA
Source: RNAcentral
UACAGAGGUCUCGAGCGUUGGGCGGAAUCACUGGGCUUAAAGCGUGUGUAGGUGGAUGCCUAAGUACCUUGUGAAAUCCCUCGGCUUAACCGGGGAACUGCGUCCGAUACUGGUUGGCUUGAGUUUGGGAGAGGGAUGCGGAAUUCCAGGUGUAGCGGUGAAAUGCGUAGAUAUCUGGAGGAACACCGGUGGCGAAGGCGGCAUCCUGGACCAAUACUGACGCUGAGGAGCGAAAGCCAGGGGAGCAAACGGG